ACAAACUUGGUCAUUUAGAGGAAGUAAAAGUCGUAACAAGGUUUCCGUAGGUGAACCUGCGGAAGGAUCAUUAGAGAAUACAUUGACACGGGCUUGUCCCGUGCCAACACACUCUAUCUUCACACCUGUGAACUGUUGAUCGGUCGAGCGCGAUCUCGGUCGAGGGUGGUGUGUGGCCACCCGAAUCAUCCUUUUUUUGUAAACCAUAGUUGUGCAAAGCGUUACGCCGCAGGGCGAUUUUGAAAUCAUGAUACAACUUUCAGCAACGGAUCUCUAGGCUCUCGCAUCGAUGAAGAACGCAGC
Molecule: unclassified non-coding RNA, 303 nt
Filed under: uncultured fungus
Lineage: Eukaryota; Fungi
Description: partial contains small subunit ribosomal RNA, internal transcribed spacer 1, and 5.8S ribosomal RNA
Rfam family: Eukaryotic small subunit ribosomal RNA (bases 1-73)
Source: RNAcentral